This 425-nucleotide ribosomal RNA is filed under the name uncultured Desulfotomaculum sp. RNAcentral describes it as "bacterial SSU rRNA". It matches the Rfam family "Bacterial small subunit ribosomal RNA", at positions 355 to 795 of the family's 1533-position model. The record is from RNAcentral. Lineage: Bacteria; Bacillati; Bacillota; Clostridia; Eubacteriales; Desulfotomaculaceae.
UGGGGAUUUUUCCGCAAUGGGCGCAAGCCUGACGGAGCAACGCCGCGUGUGGGAUGACGCGUUUCGGCGUGUAAACCACUGUUCGGGGGGACGAAGCACUGACGGUACCCCCGGAGGAAGGCCCGGCUAACUACGUGCCAGCAGCCGCGGUAAUACGUAGGGGUCGAGCGUUGUCCGGAGUUACUGGGCGUAAAGCGCGCGCAGGCGGCUCAUUACGCCCGGCGUGAAAGCCCCCGGCUCAACCGGGGAGGGUCGUCGGGUACGGGUGAGCUUGAGGGCAGCAGGGGCUGGUGGAAUUCCCGGUGUAGUGGUGAAAUGCGUAGAGAUCGGGAGGAACACCCGUGGCGAAGGCGGCCAGCUGGGCUGCACCUGACGCUGAGGCGCGAAGGCGUGGGGAGCGAAAGGGAUUAGAUACCCCUGUAGUC